Molecule: long non-coding RNA, 573 nt
Organism: Zingiber officinale
Lineage: Eukaryota; Viridiplantae; Streptophyta; Magnoliopsida; Zingiberales; Zingiberaceae
Exons: 4
Source: RefSeq, a predicted model, not a curated record
CAUCUGAGUCUGAGAGUUUUGGUUCUUCAAGUGUUAAAAGAAAUCAACAAAGUUCUGUGUAUAGUUGGGAUGAUUUUGAUGACUAUUGUGCAAAAGUUGAAACUUCGGAGACUAAGAGAUCUGAAUUGGUAGAUUAUCUUGAAAAGGGUUGUCUUAAGAAGAAUGAGAUUCCUAAAAUUUUUUCGUGUUUAGAAUGGUGGAAGAUGAAUAGAAUGCAAUAUCCAAUAUUGUCAAAGAUGACAGCUGAUAUUUUAGCUAUCCCAGUGAGUUCAGUGGCUUCAGAAGCAACAUUUAGUGCAGGGACGAGAGUUAUUGAUUCUUAUCGUUCAUCACUAUCUCCGGACACAGUGCAAGCUCUUCUAUGUGGGGGUGAUUGGCUUCAAAAGAUACAUGGACUGAAAAAAAAAGACUAAAAAAGAGAAAACUUACCAGGAAAUUUUUCUUCCAGUAUCUACCUCUUAAAAACAAGUCAUUGUCAUCCAAUCCAUGUAUUGAAGACGAAGUGCAGGUGAUAUAACUGAGAAUUUGAGAUGAAGGAAGAUAUUGAACGUGGCAAAAAUUUGAUAUUUUGAG